Molecule: long non-coding RNA, 1486 nt
Organism: Daphnia pulex (common water flea)
Lineage: Eukaryota; Metazoa; Arthropoda; Branchiopoda; Diplostraca; Daphniidae
Exons: 3
Source: RefSeq, a predicted model, not a curated record
AACUUCUCCCCAGCAGACUAAGGAAAAAUCAUCGCGCUUUAAAGAUCCUUAAGAAAAUAAAAGAAGUUCAUAAUUCUUGGGCAAAUAUUUGAACGGACAAUUGGACACUUGCGUCCUAAUAAAUAAAAUAAAAAUUUCGCAACGCAAAACCGACACAACAUCUAAAUCAAAUAUGAACUUGACACUAAAUGCGGUUCAAAAGAGAAAGUAGUGGAUGAUGUCAAGAGUUUUUAAAAAAAGGCCAACUGGUCCUUUGGCUUUCCGGCCACAAUUUCCCAAAACGGAUGCGUCUUUUACUGCAAAUAUUUAGAAAGAAGGACAUCUUAUGACUUUUUCACAACAGUGUCAAGGGCGUUUCACUUUUCUCGUCUUCCUUUUGUUAGGUUCGUUCUAUAACUUUGACAACUGGGGCCAGUCUAUAGACGUCAAAAGUCUUUGGGUAGUCGUCGCAAACGCAGCACAUUUUUACGUAGUCAAAAAGAUGCGUCUCUUCAGUCUGUUCUUCACGUUGUUGAUUCUUUUGGCGGCCUGCACUGGUUUGGAGAUUAAGAAAACCAUUUUGGACAAAAUUCCAGGUGCUGGAACUGACGAAAUGCGAAUUGGAGUAGCACCGGAUCGCAAGUGUCCUCGGCCAAAGCAAUUGGAUCUACAGGGAAACUGUCGCCAACCUUGGGGCCGCUGAAAAUGUUGAGUUUUGAAUUUCAAAAUGGCUUGGAGGAAUAUUGGAGUCGCUUCACCUACUACCCAGCAGUUAUAUUUACCCAGCACUGAAUACUAGCCAAUAUUUUAACCUCAUAAUCUUACUCGUCGGAAUAUUCGCUGAAAUAUAACGAAAGUGUGUUAUUAAUUUUUUUUUACUUUAAAAAGGUCGAUUAUAAGUUUCCAUGAAGCGUCGGCUGUAGGUUCGAUAAAUGGUGCGUGCCAUUCCAGGCCAAGGAUUUUUCAAGCACAAUAAGGCACCUGUUACAUCAUUAUUGUCUUUCAACUUCUCCCCCUUUGCAAAAAAGAUUUCCAUCCAGGAUGAAUUUGGCAAACAAAUAAUUAUUAGACAUAUAUUUACCUUUUCUCCUUGAACAGCAGACCAGAUUCCGUACAUUAGCCUCAUCGGCAUGCCGGGACAAAUUUCUGAUCCAGGGGCUGAGAGUGUUGGACUGAUGCAAAUGCCUCCCGUUUCCGUUUGCCAUCACCAAGUGUCCACAACAGCGCAUUUCUCUUUGCCCACAAUUUUGUUAUAAUACCAGUGCCAAGCUUCCACCUUGAUGAGUUCACCCUGAUAGCAAACUACCGUUGAAACGUGACUAUGUUUAAUUAAUAAUAAAAAUAAUUAUUAAUUAGCAGCCAUACCACAGAACCCAGAGUGCGGAGAGAGAUGAGAACAUAACUUUCAACAUACGCUGGACAAUCUCCCAAUAUCAACCUGUUGGGAAAACGAAAAUUAUGUAACGUCAGCAUUUGAGAUCAAAUGAAAAAUCAAAUCGAGACCUGG